UCAGUUCUUGUUUGAGCAAUGUUACUU
Molecule: non-coding RNA, 27 nt
Filed under: Mus musculus (house mouse)
Lineage: Eukaryota; Metazoa; Chordata; Mammalia; Rodentia; Muridae
Source: RNAcentral